UGGCGGCGUGCUUAACACAUGCAAGUCGAACGGAAAGGCCCUGCUUUUGUGGGGUGCUCGAGUGGCGAACGGGUGAGUAACACGUGAGUAACCUGCCCUUGACUUUGGGAUAACUUCAGGAAACUGGGGCUAAUACCGGAUAGGAGCUCCUGCUGCAUGGUGGGGGUUGGAAAGUUUCGGCGGUUGGGGAUGGACUCGCGGCUUAUCAGCUUGUUGGUGGGGUAGUGGCUUACCAAGGCUUUGACGGGUAGCCGGCCUGAGAGGGUGACCGGCCACAUUGGGACUGAGAUACGGCCCAGACUCCUACGGGAGGCAGCAGUGGGGAAUAUUGCACAAUGGGCGGAAGCCUGAUGCAGCAACGCCGCGUGCGGGAUGACGGCCUUCGGGUUGUAAACCGCUUUCGCCUGUGACGAAGCGUGAGUGACGGUAAUGGGUAAAGAAGCACCGGCUAACUACGUGCCAGCAGCCGCGGUGAUACGUAGGGUGCGAGCGUUGUCCGGAUUUAUUGGGCGUAAAGGGCUCGUAGGUGGUUGAUCGCGUCGGAAGUGUAAUCUUGGGGCUUAACCCUGAGCGUGCUUUCGAUACGGGUUGACUUGA
Molecule: ribosomal RNA, 597 nt
Filed under: uncultured Propionibacterium sp.
Lineage: Bacteria; Bacillati; Actinomycetota; Actinomycetes; Propionibacteriales; Propionibacteriaceae
Description: bacterial SSU rRNA
Rfam family: Bacterial small subunit ribosomal RNA
Source: RNAcentral